ACCAAUUCUAGCCCAAAUAUACUACUAGUAAAACUAUUUUCAUACAUUAAAACAAAACAUUCAUACCACUAAAGUAUAGGCGAUAGAAAUUUUAUUAGGCGCUAUAGAGAAAGUACCGCAAGGGAAAGAUGAAAGAAUUAUUAAAAGUGUAAAACAGCAUAGAUUAAUACUACUACCUUUUGCAUCAUGAGCUAACUAGAACUCCCUUUGCAAAAAGAAUUUAAGCAAAGACCCCCGAAACCAAACGAGCUACUUUCAGACAGCUAAAUUGAGCCAACCCGUCUAUGUGGCAAAAUAGUGGGAAGAUCUGAAAGUAGAGGUGAAAAGCCAA
This 331-nucleotide ribosomal RNA is filed under the name Hystrix indica. RNAcentral describes it as "partial 16S ribosomal RNA". The stretch from base 234 to 331 matches the Rfam family "Bacterial large subunit ribosomal RNA", at positions 714 to 832 of the family's 2925-position model. The record is from RNAcentral. Lineage: Eukaryota; Metazoa; Chordata; Mammalia; Rodentia; Hystricidae.